This 2164-nucleotide long non-coding RNA is filed under the name Salmo salar (Atlantic salmon). RNAcentral describes it as "lncRNA (ENSSSAG00000085167.1, ENSSSAG00000105820.1)". The record is from RNAcentral. Lineage: Eukaryota; Metazoa; Chordata; Actinopteri; Salmoniformes; Salmonidae.
UGAAGAAAGAAGAAGACAUGAGGAAGUUUUGCCGCGUUUCUUUGUUUUGGAUCUUCAGGCGCAGUUUUUUGACGUUUCGAUACUUCAGAAACCUUUUUAUUUCGCUUACGAAUAACGAGCUAAACGCAGUUUUAUGAUUCUGUGUUGAUUGAACCCAUAUGAGCUAAUUUAGUAUUCAGCGUCUCUGUCGUCUAGCCACUGUAGCUAGUUAACGUUAGCUAGCAACACAGGAGCCUUUCUUGACGUCAGUCGCUAAGGCUUGCUCAUAUCGUGGGCCGGCUGGAGAGCUCAAAGAAAAGACGGAAGAAAAGAAAGUCUUACUACUCAAAGAUAAAGGAAAAAGAAAACCCAAAGGAAUGGAGAAGGAAACUGAAAAAAAGAGGCACCGAUUCACCCCUGGAGAUGAGGAUCUUAUUAUUUCAGGGGUACUUGGGCACUGGGAGGACCUCUUCGGUGCCCAGGCCCACAUUCGCCCCCGGGGGUCAAAGACGGCAACCUGGAACACCAUCGCGGGGACCUUGACCCCUACAUCAGCUGUGGCGAGAUGUGGUGAUGAUGUCCGGAAGAAGUACAAUCUCAUAAGGAGCCAAAUCAAGCAAAAGGUUUCUUCUAUCCGGACAUUGUCCACCCAGACUGGUGGGGGGCCCAACACCGUGCCGGCGCUGACCGACCUGGAGCAGCAACUGCUUUCCCGAAUGGCAGAGACCGAAGCUGGUGUAGGGCCUGCUGAUUUGGGAUUUGGUCUCUCUCAGGGAGAAAUCUCCAGCUCUGGUCCCCUACCAGCAGCACAGGGAACUGUGGAGUCAGCUUUACCCUCUGUCACCAUGGAGGAGCUACCCUCCACCUCGCCAUCAACACCUUGGCCAGCACCAACAGUGCCACCCCAACCCAUCACCUCCCGUCCUGCACCAUCUCACUCUGGCUCUACACCCCAACCCAUCACCUCCCGUCCUGCACCAGCUCACUCAAUCCAGGCUCAAUCAAUGAAUCAAAUUUAUUUUAUAAAGCCCUUUUUACAUCAGCAGUUGUCACAAAGUGCUUUACAAAUACCUAGCUUAAAACCCCAAAUAGCAAGCAAUGCAGAUGCACUCUCUGGCUGUAAACCCCAACCCAUCACCUCCUGUCCUGCACCAUCUCACUCCAUCCACUCUGGCUCUACACCCCAACCCAUCACCUCCUGUCCUGCACCAUCUCACUCUGGCUCUACACCCCAACCCAUCACCUCCUGUCCUGCACCAUCUCACUCCAUCCACUCUGGCUCUACACCCCAACCCAUCACCACCUGUCCUGCACCAUCUCACUCUGGCUCUACACCCCAACCCAUCACCUCCUGUCCUGCACCAUCUCACUCCAUCCACUCUGGCUCUACAUCCCAACCCAUCACGUCUGGCUGGACACCACAGGGCCCCCAAGCCAAUCUGUUCCAACAAAUCCUGGACACACAAACACAACAAAUCCAUGUUACACAGACCGCCCAACACAUCCACCAAGCUCUUUAUGAUUUAUUACAAAAAGCACAUGAAACACAGAAGGCACACCUGGAUGUGGAGAAGAACCGGCUCCAGCUGGAUAGAGAGCGCUUGAGGGUGGAGACAGAGCGCCUGCAGGUGGAGAGGGAGCGCCUUCAGCUGGAGAAGGAUCGCCUGGGGGAAGGGGAGGCCCGGGAGGUGCUUCGGCAGCUCUCUGUCUCCGGGUCAGUCGCCCUAGAACACCAGACGCCUGUGAGUUCAAGAACUGCCAGUGCCUCCCCCACCCUUCCUCUGGGAACACCAUCAGCCUCCAUGUCCAGUCCCCUCACAUUAAUAUCACCUACUGCACCACACUUUGAUUUCUUAUUUUCCCCAUUCCCAUUACCGGUAAUCACAACCCAUUCCACCCAGCCUUCACAAACUGCCCCAACCCCCCUACCUUAACCAGCCCUGCCCCAACCUCCCCUACCUUAACCAGCCCUGCCCCAACCUCCCCUACCUUAACCAGCCCUGCCCCAACCUCCCCUACCUUAACCAGCCCUGCUCCAACCACCCCUACCUUAACCGUUUCUGCCCACUCUCUCAUCCCUACAAUCUCCGGAUCUGUUAAACGGCGAGUUCAGGAGACAGUCCGGCCUUGGUCUACACCCACUGCUAAGAAUAAAAAACAUCAAUAAACAAAUAAUGUAAUAAAA